UAGGGAAUCUUCGGCAAUGGGGGCAACCCUGACCGAGCAACGCCGCGUGAGUGAAGAAGGUUUUCGGAUCGUAAAGCUCUGUUGUAAGAGAAGAACGUGUGUGAGAGUGGAAAGUUCACACAGUGACGGUAACUUACCAGAAAGGGACGGCUAACUACGUGCCAGCAGCCGCGGUAAUACGUAGGUCCCGAGCGUUGUCCGGAUUUAUUGGGCGUAAAGCGAGCGCAGGCGGUUUAAUAAGUCUGAAGUUAAAGGCAGUGGCUUAACCAUUGUUCGCUUUGGAAACAGUUAAACUUGAGUGCAGAAGGGGAGGGUGGAAUUCCUUGUGUAGCGGAGAAAUGCGUAGAUAUAUGGAGGAACACCGGUGGCGAAAGCGGCUCUCUGGUCUGUAACUGACGCUGAGGCUCGAAAGCGUGGGGAGCAAACAGG
RNAcentral lists this ribosomal RNA (429 nucleotides) under bacterium. RNAcentral's name for it is "partial 16S ribosomal RNA". It matches the Rfam family "Bacterial small subunit ribosomal RNA", at positions 355 to 776 of the family's 1533-position model. The record is from RNAcentral.